CUUUUGUCUUUUGUUGUUGUUGUUGUUGCUAUUUCUUGGGCCGCUCCCGCGGCAUAUGGAGGUUCCCAGGCUAGGGGUUGAAUCGGAGCUGUAGCCACCGGCCUACGCCAGAGCCACAGCAACGCGGGAUCCAAGCCGCGUCUGCAGCCUACACCACAGCUCACGGCAACGCCGGAUCGUUAACCCACUGAGCAAGGGCAGGGAUGGAACCCGCAACCUCAUGGUUCCUAGUCGGAUUCGUUAACCACUGCGCCACGACGGGCAAAUAGAUGAUAACUUUAAACAUGGACACAAAUCUUUUUUUGGGGGGGCCAUGCCCGCAGCAUAUGGAGGUUCCCAGGCUAGGGGUCGAAUCAGACCUGUAGUCGCCAGUCUACGCCACAGCCACAGCAACACAAGAUCCAAGCCAUGUCUGCAACCUGCACCACAGCUCAUGGCAAUGAGAGAUCCUUAACCCACUGAGCAAGGCCAGGGAUCAAACCCGUGUCCUUAUAGACACUGGUCAGGUUUUUAACCACUGAGCCAUGACGGGAACUCCAAACAUGGGCCCAAACCUUAAAAGAAAAAAAAAAGCAUAUAGGAUGAGAAAAGUAAGUGGGUCUGGGGCAAAAAUAUGAGGAACAUCAUUAUUUAAGGAAAGGGCAGAAAAGGUACAACCGCAAAAGAGAUUGAGAACCGAGGUCCACACGGGAAGAUGGAAACCCAGGAGAGUUCUGAAUCACAGACACAAAGGAAGAGGCUUCAAGAAAGAGAGUGUUGGAGUUCCCGCCACGAUGCCGUGCCUUAAGAAUCCGACUGCAACAGUUUGUGUUGCUGUGGAGGCGCAGGGUGGGUUUGAUCCCUGGCCCAGAGCAGUGGGUUAAAGGAUUGGGCAUUGCUGCAGCUGUGGUGUAGGACGUAGCUGUGGCUUGGAGCCAAGCCCUGGCCCAGGGAAUUUCCAUAUGCCAAGGAUGUGGCCACAAAAAUUAAAUAAAUAAAAAUGAAAUCUAAAUUUAAAAAUUUUUAAAAAGACAUUGUCAAUUGAGUCAAAUGCUGCUGAGAUGUCGAAAACUGCGGGAAGGUCAAUUUGGAAAGGUUAAAAAGCUGAAGUCUCCAUCUGCCAGCCGGCCUUGCAGCAAGGGUUUUAGCCCUGAAUGAGGUUUCACCAGUGAGAUGCACUUGGCUUGAGAUUCAGACAGUGGAACGGAGCAAUCUUUAUGGAGCUUUUGGCUGUUUCCAUGCCCGUUGAUGAUAUAUUCAUGAAAACUGUAACUCAGGUCUGCCUCUAGAGAACAUAACAGGCCAAUAAUAUCCUGAUUAUCAAGGCCAUCAAAGCCAAACCAAAUUGGCUACAGUGCUUUUUAAAAGACAGUAUGGCUUUAAUGUAACAACAAAUGCUGCCACAUUGAAGGUCCACAGGGCGAUCCUCCUUUGGGCUGUCAGAUCUGGACAUGCCAUGUGAAGAGACCCUGGAGCAUCAUCAGAAUUCAAUUCAAAUAACAAGACUCUGUUACGUUGUGAGACUUAGCCUGCUCUUUCUGCAAGGAGAGCUGAUUACGGAGAAGCAAGGUGGGGAGAAGGGAUGUUGAAAGGGUGGACAUGCAGAAGCCCAGCUCCAGGGAUGCAUCAGGGCCUUGGGCGGUGACGAUGCUAAAGCAGCAGACAGCAGACAGAUUUGUGAGAGAACAGCAGACAGACUCAGGUUGGCUUCUGCUGUGCCUCAAAGAAUUCCCACAGACAUUGAGAAGGUACCAAGUUCAGCAGAUGGUGGCCAGUGUGUGGAGCUAAAGGAUUAUGCUUACUUCUAAGGGGUAUAAGUGACUUCUGACUAGUACCAGACUUUUCAGCUGCGGUACCUGGCAAUGAUUCCCAAAAGAAAUCUAGGAUUUACAGUCUUCCCCUUUACUCUUUCUCUUCUACAGCUUUCUUCUGAGAGAGAGAGAAAGAGAGAGAAGAAAAGGAAUUAAUAAUCUCAUUUCUUCUUGGCCUAAAUCAUAGCAAGGCGAGGUUAAAGAAUUUUCCAAGGUCCUUAGCAGAAGCAAUCUGAAGACUUACAUGAGUUGCUAAAUACUUCUGCGGAGACCUCCCCAAUACAUGGUUGUUUUAAACAAUGCUCUCAUGUCAUGCUCAUCACAACUCUGUAGAAAACCAGGCAAGUCUUUGCUCUCCUUUCCGUUUUACAGAGGAGGAAACAGAGAUCCUAGGGAGGUGGACUUGGCCAGCUCAUAUCACUAAAAGCAGCAGAGCAAAAGUAGAACCUUGGUUUUCCCUCUCCCAGUCUUUUGGUAAAUUCUGUCACUUGAGAUGAAGCACAAUGCAACUUGAUCUUUAAAGCUGGGGCUUGGGCAGUUACUGAGCCUCCACACUGUUCAUGGAAAAUAACCAAGAAACACAUUCUGGGAUAGCCUGGGACGUCAAGGUCAAGAGAAACAUCCAGCGCUGGUCUAACCAAUCUGUGUAAGUAACAGCUAAUUUGACUUGCUGAGAAAACAGUAACAUGCAAAUAUAAGACUGCGGUUAAUGGUUCAGCAUUAAUUACCAAAUGUCAUCAAAACCACCAGGUUUGCCCAGUCGGGUGUGGGGAUGGCCUGAAAGCUCAAGAGAGUCACAAGUGUUCAUAAGAAAAUGGCCAAUACCCUCAUGUGUUUCCUCUCUGGGGGUCCUGCUCACCUCCUCCGUUGAAACUGAAACAUAGUGCAGCCCAGAUACAAAGUCCAGGCGACCAUUUUUCACAACUUUUUCUCUUUGCCUUUACCAGGGACAGAGUUUUGGCAUCUUUAUUAUGUCAUUAAUUUUAGUUAUGUUCUGAACAUGGAGCAAGGAGGUCUUUGAGGCUACGGGUGACUGACAGUGUUUAGACAAGUCCAAUUAAGUUUCUUCUGUUUGGAGAAUCUUGGGAAGAUAAAUAAAUCACUGAAACUUUCAUCAUGAAAAUCACCAUUGAGCCAAGGCAAUGCUUCUCCUGGGAAAGCAUGAAGAUUCAUGUCAGGAGGAAGGGGACAGCCAGCAGAGCAGCCGCUGCCAGGAACAGAUCCCAUCAUGAACUGAACUGACCCAAGCAUCCAGCUCAGCUCUGCGUAUGCCCUGUACUCUGUCUCCUCAGAGCCCCUUUGCAAGAUGCUUCCUUCACUCAUGUCGCCGUAGAGGCUUGUGGUGGUGAGGAGACAGUGUCCAAAGGUGACUGAUAAUGCUUUGGCCAACAAACACAUCCCAAUCCUGCUAUUUGAAUCCCAGGGCCUCCCUCUACCCCGUGUCUGCCCUUAGAGCUCCUGUCUUCUCUCAGGACUCCCUUCUAUACCGGGUAGAGCCCUAAGAUGCAUGAAAAUGAAAGUGAUGUCAAGUUCUUUAGGACUUCUCACCUACAGCGGCACCCCCCUCCCAUGUCCCAUGUUCCUGCUCCCUCCCUUCAUCUCAAGGGCCCCUGCGAAUGAUGCCUGAUGAAGAUCUCAGAUGCCACGGGGACGAUUAAAGAAAUUUGUCUACAAACGAAUCAUUAAAUGGCACUGAAGAAUUACUGUUAACUUGAAGUCUGUUCAUGCCAUGGUGGUUAUAUAAUUUUUUUAGAUGCUUAUAAGUUGGAUGUACAUCCUGAAGCAUUUACAGAUGAAAUGGCAUAAUGUCUGAAUUUGCUUUUUUUCUUUCCUUUUUCCUUUUUUGGCUGCGAGGAAGUUCCCAGGCCAGAGAUCAAACCCUUACCACGGCAGCGGCAGCGACCCAAGCAGCUUCAGCGAUAACAAUGGGUCCCUCACUCACUGAGCCACAGCAGCAACUCCUGAAUUUGCUUUGAAAGUAAAGGCGGGGGAAGAUGAUGUCGGUUAGGCUCUUGUCAGGAGACAGAAUCCACGCCACUUAUUGUAACAGAGAAUUUAACAGAAAGAACUAUUAACCAGGACACUGAAAGCCGAAACGAGAAACGAAGGUACCUCAAAAGUAGCAACUGCAGGAAGUAGUUACUGCCCCAGGGUCGGGACAUAAAGGGAAGAAGUUGGUUGCACUUAUCAAAACCUUGGAGAAGGGG
RNAcentral lists this long non-coding RNA (3997 nucleotides) under Sus scrofa (pig). Its description in RNAcentral is "lncRNA (ENSSSCG00050024062.1)". Lineage: Eukaryota; Metazoa; Chordata; Mammalia; Artiodactyla; Suidae. The record is from RNAcentral.